Non-coding RNA from Trichonephila clavipes, 73 nucleotides. Lineage: Eukaryota; Metazoa; Arthropoda; Arachnida; Araneae; Nephilidae. The record is from the annotation of a GenBank genome assembly.
GGGUGCGUACCUCAAAGGGAAGAGUGUUCGCUUUGUAUGCGAGAGGUACGGGGAUCGAUACCCCGCGCCCCCA